CCCUUAGAUGUUCUGGGCCGCACGCGCGCUACACUGACGAAGUCAGCGAGCAUGUCCUACGCCGACAGGUGCGGGGAAUCUUGUCAAACUCCGUCGUGCUGGGGAUAGAGCAUUGUAAUUAUUGCUCUUCAACGAGGAAUUCCUAGUAAGCGCAAGUCAUCAGCUUGCGUUGAUUACGUCCCUGCCCUUUGUACACACCGCCCGUCGCUACUACCGAUUGAAUGGCUUAGUGAGGCUUCCGGAUUGGUUUAGAGAAGGGGGCAACUCCAUCUUGGAACCGAGAAGCUAGUCAAACUUGGUCAUUUAGAGGAAGUAAAAGUCGUAACA
This 327-nucleotide ribosomal RNA is filed under the name uncultured eukaryote. RNAcentral describes it as "partial 18S ribosomal RNA". It matches the Rfam family "Eukaryotic small subunit ribosomal RNA", at positions 1470 to 1796 of the family's 1831-position model. The record is from RNAcentral.